Molecule: small nuclear RNA, 108 nt
Organism: Pelobates fuscus (common spadefoot toad)
Lineage: Eukaryota; Metazoa; Chordata; Amphibia; Anura; Pelobatidae
Source: RefSeq, a predicted model, not a curated record
GUAAGAAGCUCCAGCUGCACAUAUACUAAAAAUAAAAUGCUACAGAGAAGAUUAGCAUGGCCCCUGCACAAGUAUGACACACAAAUUUGUGAAGCUUUCCAUAUUUUU